GCCGCGCCAUGCACCUGAUGAAGAAGCGGGAGAAGCAGCGCGAGCAGAUGGAGCAGAUGAAGCAGCGCAUCGCGGAGGAGAACAUCAUGAAAUCCAACAUUGACAAGAAGUUCUCUGCGCACUACGACGCGGUGGAGGCAGAGCUCAAGUCCAGCACCGUGGGUCUCGUGACCCUGAAUGACAUGAAGGCCAAGCAGGAGGCUCUGGUGAAGGAGCGGGAGAAGCAGCUGGCCAAGAAGGAGCAGUCCAAGGAGCUGCAGAUGAAGCUGGAGAAGCUUCGAGAGAAGGAGCGUAAGAAGGAAGCCAAGCGGAAGAUCUCCAGCCUGUCCUUCACCCUGGAGGAGGAAGAAGAGGGAGGCGAGGAGGAAGAGGAGGCGGCCAUGUAUGAGGAGGAGAUGGAAAGGGAAGAGAUCACCACGAAGAAGAGAAAACUGGGGAAGAACCCAGACGUUGACACAAGCUUCUUGCCUGAUCGAGACCGUGAGGAGGAGGAGAAUCGGCUUCGGGAAGAGCUGCGGCAGGAGUGGGAAGCCAAGCAGGAGAAGAUCAAGAGUGAGUAUCGAGAUCACCUUCAGCUACUGGGAUGGCUCUGGGCACCGGCGGACAGUCAAGAUGAGAAAGGGCAACACCAUGCAGCAGUUCCUGCAGAAGGCGCUCGAGAUCCUUCGGAAAGACUUCAGUGAGCUGAGGUCCGCAGGGGUGGAGCAGCUCAUGUACAUCAAGGAGGACUUGAUCAUCCCUCACCAUCACAGCUUCUACGACUUCAUCGUCACCAAGGCACGGGGGAAGAGUGGACCACUCUUCAACUUUGAUGUUCAUGACGAUGUGCGGUUGCUCAGUGACGCCACUGUGGAGAAGGAUGAGUCCCAUGCAGGCAAGGUGGUGCUGAGGAGCUGGUACGAGAAGAACAAGCACAUCUUUCCCGCCAGCCGCUGGGAACCCUACGACCCUGAAAAGAAGUGGGACAAGUACACGAUCCGCUGAGCAUCCAGGAGGCUGCGCGGCCCCGGCUCCUCAGCUCCCUCAGUGUGCCCCGUGGUGUCACCGGGACUCCAGGCACCCGCUCCCCUGCGACCAUGCCAGGCACGCUGGGAGGAGGACGGCAGCUGCUCGUGUCCUGCCCCUGCCACAUCAGUGACUGCUUUAUUCUUUUCCAAUAAAGAAGUGCACGUGUCAGAGCUGGAGCGCCUGCAUUGUG
This 1198-nucleotide long non-coding RNA is filed under the name Homo sapiens (human). RNAcentral's name for it is "long non-coding RNA NONHSAT223135.1". The record is from RNAcentral. Lineage: Eukaryota; Metazoa; Chordata; Mammalia; Primates; Hominidae.